CAAAAUCUAAGAAAAGAUCGUACCCAAGCGAGGAAAUAAGCUUCUCUGAGGAAGAUCUGGACAACGUGGUCAGCCCGCAUGAGGAUCCACUAGUGAUACAAGUGGAUAUAGGGGAUGACUUAAGUCUGAACAAAGUAAUGGUGGACAACGGCAGCUCAGUAGAUAUAUUAUACCUAGCUGCGUUCGAAAAAAUGGGCUACAAAGUGGAUCAGCUAACCCCGGCCAAGGAAGC
Molecule: long non-coding RNA, 232 nt
Filed under: Zostera marina
Lineage: Eukaryota; Viridiplantae; Streptophyta; Magnoliopsida; Alismatales; Zosteraceae
Description: long non-coding RNA (ZMAR_LNC003794)
Source: RNAcentral